GACGAACGCUGGCGGCGUGCCUAAUACAUGCAAGUAGGACGCAGUUGCGAACGGGUGAGUAACGCGUAGGUAACUACCUAUUAGAGGGGGAUAACUAUUGGAAACGAUAGCUAAUACCGCAUACUAGUAGAUGGACCUGCGUUGUAUUAGCUAGUAGGUAGGGUAAUGGCCUACCUAGGCAACGAUACAUAGCCGAACUGGGAGGGUGCUCGGCCACACGGGGACUUGGUGACGGCCCAGACCCCUACGGGUGGCAGCAGUAGGGAAUCUUCGGCAAAGGGAGGAACCCUGACCGAGCACCGCGGCGUGAGUGAAGAAGGUUUUCGGAUCGUAAAGCUCUGUUGUUAAGGAAGCGGUACUUAACCAGAAAGGGACGGCUAACUACGUGCCAGCAGCCGCGGUAAUUC
This 407-nucleotide ribosomal RNA is filed under the name uncultured bacterium. Its description in RNAcentral is "partial 16S ribosomal RNA". It matches the Rfam family "Bacterial small subunit ribosomal RNA", at positions 28 to 526 of the family's 1533-position model. The record is from RNAcentral.